Molecule: ribosomal RNA, 766 nt
Filed under: uncultured fungus
Lineage: Eukaryota; Fungi
Description: SSU rRNA
Rfam family: Eukaryotic small subunit ribosomal RNA
Source: RNAcentral
UUAGCAUGGAAUAAUAAAAUAGGACGUGCGUUUCUAUUUUGUUGGUUUCUAGAGACGCCGCAAUGAUUAACAGGAACAGUCGGGGGCAUCAGUAUUCAGUUGUCAGAGGUGAAAUUCUUGGAUUUACUGAAGACUAACUACUGCGAAAGCAUUUGCCAAGGAUGUUUUCAUUAAUCAGUGAACGAAAGUUAGGGGAUCGAAGACGAUCAGAUACCGUCGUAGUCUUAACCGUAAACUAUGCCGACUAGGGAUCGGGCGAUGUUCUUUUUCUGACUCGCUCGGCACCUUACGAGAAAUCAAAGUUUUUGGGUUCUGGGGGGAUUAUGGUCGCAAGGCUGAAACUUAAAGAAAUUGACGGAAGGUCACCACCAGGCGUGGAGCCUGCGGCUUAAUUUGACUCAUCACGGGGAAACUCACCAGGUCCAGAUGAAAUAAGGAUUGACAGAUUGAGAGCUCUUUCUUGAUUUUUCAGGUGGUGGUGCAUGGCCGUUCUUAGUUCGUGGGGUGACUUGUCUGCUUAAUUGCGAUAACGAGCGAGACCUUACUCUGCUAAAUAGCCAGGCUAGCUUUGGCUGGUCGCCGGCUUCUUAGAGAGACUAUCAACUCAAGUUGAUGGAAGUUUGAGGCAAUUACAGGUCUGUGAUGCCCUUAGAUGUUCUGGGCCGCACGCGCGCUACACUGACAGAGCCAACGAGUUCUUCACCUUGGCCGAAAGGUCUGGGUAAUCUUGUUAAACUCUGUCGUGCUGGGGAUAGAGCAUUGCAAU